This 534-nucleotide ribosomal RNA is filed under the name Cytobacillus depressus. RNAcentral describes it as "bacterial SSU rRNA". It matches the Rfam family "Bacterial small subunit ribosomal RNA", at positions 937 to 1472 of the family's 1533-position model. Lineage: Bacteria; Bacillati; Bacillota; Bacilli; Caryophanales; Bacillaceae. The record is from RNAcentral.
GCAUGUUGUAUAAUUAGAAGCAACCCGAAGAACCUUCCCAGGUCUUGACAUCCUCUGACAAUCCUAGAGAUAGGUCUUUCCCCUUAGGGGGACAGAGUGACAGGUGGUGCAUGGUUGUUGUCAGCUCGUGUCGUGAGAUGUUGGGUUAAGUCCCGCAACGAGCGCAACCCUUGAUCUUAGUUGCCAGCUUUCAGUUGGGCACUCUAAGGUGACUGCCGGUGACAAACCGGAGGAAGGUGGGGAUGACGUCAAAUCAUCAUGCCCCUUAUGACCUGGGCUACACACGUGCUACAAUGGAUGGUACAAAGGGCUGCAAGACCGCGAGGUUUAGCCAAUCCCAUAAAACCAUUCUCAGUUCGGAUUGCAGGCUGCAACUCGCCUGCAUGAAGCCGGAAUCGCUAGUAAUCGCGGAUCAGCAUGCCGCGGUGAAUACGUUCCCGGGCCUUGUACACACCGCCCGUCACACCACGAGAGUUUGUAACACCCGAAGUCGGUGGGGUAACCGUAAGGAGCCAGCCGCCUAAGGUGACCGGU